Molecule: ribosomal RNA, 448 nt
Filed under: uncultured soil bacterium
Lineage: Bacteria
Description: bacterial SSU rRNA
Rfam family: Bacterial small subunit ribosomal RNA
Source: RNAcentral
AGAACGAACGCUGGCGGCAUGCCUAAUACAUGCAAGUCGAACGAACACUUCGGUGUUAGUGGCGCACGGGUGCGUAACGCGUGGGAAUCUGCCCUUGGGUUCGGAAUAACAGUUGGAAACGACUGCUAAUACCGGAUGAUAUCGAAAGAUCAAAGAUUUAUCGCCCAGGGAUGAGCCCGCGUAGGAUUAGCUAGUUGGUGAGGUAAAGGCUCACCAAGGCGACGAUCCUUAGCUGGUCUGAGAGGAUGAUCAGCCACACUGGGACUGAGACACGGCCCAGACUCCUACGGGAGGCAGCAGUAGGGAAUAUUGGACAAUGGGCGCAAGCCUGAUCCAGCAAUGCCGCGUGAGUGAUGAAGGCCUUAGGGUUGUAAAGCUCUUUUACCCGAGAUGAUAAUGACAGUAUCGGAGAAUAAGCCCCGGCUAACUCCGUGCCAGCAGCCGCGGU